AAAUAAUACAACAUCAGAACAGUGUGUUAUAGACAGGAAGAUAAUGAGGGUAGUAGAAGAAAGAUCAUAUGGUCACUCAGGGAGGUGUAUGUUUCUCUUGGGAUUUUGACAGCUUAUUUUAACUUUCCUCAUUUCCACAGACAGCAUGAGAAGCAAACAUUGACAAGGAAAGUAGCUUGACAGAUGGUCUUGGACAGCGCKCUCUGUGCACAAGGGGCAGUGUGGAAGGUGACACUGAGGCAUCUGUGUGUCUUUGAAGAAGGAGGCAGGAGAUAUGGACAGAUUGGAACACACAUGGCCAGUAUGAUGAAAAAAUGGUCCAGGAUCACAAGGAUUCCGUUGGACUUGAAGGGAAGGCAAAGCUCUGGUAAGACUGGGGAAGAGGCAAAAGUAACCUUCUUUCCCACUGCAGCAAUCCACAGCUUGGUGAGAAGGAAUAGGAGGAAGAAUGCAGCAGUUCACGUCUGCAAGGCAGAAAGGAUCUUGGGUCUUAUCUGUACUGAUGCAGAACUAUGCAGGGAUGUUUUUAUUUGAUUCAAAUGUAUUCCCUGUGAUGAUAGCAUAAAUUGCUAAAAGGAAAUAGAGUUUGAUUUGGAC
RNAcentral lists this long non-coding RNA (597 nucleotides) under Apteryx rowi (Okarito brown kiwi). Its description in RNAcentral is "lncRNA (ENSARWG00000018202.1)". Lineage: Eukaryota; Metazoa; Chordata; Aves; Apterygiformes; Apterygidae. The record is from RNAcentral.